Small nuclear RNA from Pygocentrus nattereri (red-bellied piranha), 100 nucleotides. The record is from Ensembl. Lineage: Eukaryota; Metazoa; Chordata; Actinopteri; Characiformes; Serrasalmidae.
GUGCUCCUUACGCCAGCACAUAUACUAAAAUUAGAUCAAUACAGAAAAGAUUAGCAUGGGAAAGGAUGACACGCAAAUCCGUGAAGCGCUCCAUAUUUUU